UCGCCAAGUUCCUCACUACAUGGUCAGAGAUAUCGAGGAAACAGCCGGUUUCUUGUGAACCAGACCACCGGAGAAACCUCCUCUUGCCGCGCUCUCCUCUGCGUUACCACCCUCUCUUAGACAAAACAUUCAUAAAAUGCAGCGUGGAGGAGAUCAAGAACAUACCAACCCCCAAAACGCUCAUCAAGCGUCUCUAUCACAUCAAUGCUUCGAGUAUAAACGCGUUGCAAGAUCUAGCUAAUGUAAACGGAGAGAGCAGGACGAAGAUCGAAGCUUUCUCUGCUUAUGUCUGGAAGAAAAUGGUGGAUUCUAUAGAGAGCGGUCACAAAACGUGCAAGAUGGGUUGGCUGGUUGACGGUAGAGGAAGACUAGAGACCGUUGCCUCUAGCUACAUAGGAAACGUCUUGUCUAUAGCUGUCGGUGAAGCCCCCAUUGAAAAUCUGAAGCAAAACAAAGUGUCGGAGAUAGCAAAGAUAGUGCAUGAGUCGAUUACUGAAGUGACAAACAAUACUCAUUUCACAGAUUUGAUAGAUUGGAUUGAGAGUCACCGACCUGGACUGAUGUUAGCUCGGGUGGUUUUGGGACAAGAAGGGCCAGCUUUGGUCUUGUCUUCAGGAAGGCGGUUCCCUGUGGCUGAGUUGGAUUUUGGGUUUGGUGCACCUGUUCUUGGGACCGUGUGUUCAACGGUUGAGAAAAUAGG
Molecule: long non-coding RNA, 700 nt
Filed under: Brassica rapa (field mustard)
Lineage: Eukaryota; Viridiplantae; Streptophyta; Magnoliopsida; Brassicales; Brassicaceae
Description: long non-coding RNA (BRAP_LNC006976)
Source: RNAcentral